GUCUACGGCCAUGCCACCCUGAACAAGCCCAAUCCUGUCUGAUCUCAGAAGCUAAGCAGGGUCGGGCCUGGUUAGUACUUGGAUGGGAGACAACCUAAGACCACCAGGUGCUGUAGGCG
This 119-nucleotide ribosomal RNA is filed under the name Pteropus alecto (black flying fox). The record is from RNAcentral. Lineage: Eukaryota; Metazoa; Chordata; Mammalia; Chiroptera; Pteropodidae.